RNAcentral lists this ribosomal RNA (120 nucleotides) under Colletotrichum salicis. Lineage: Eukaryota; Fungi; Ascomycota; Sordariomycetes; Glomerellales; Glomerellaceae. The record is from RNAcentral.
ACAUACGACCAUACCCAUUUGAAAACUCGGGAUCCCGUCCGCUCUCCCAUAGAUAAGCCAAUGAGGGCCAGGUUAGUAGUUGGGCCGGUGACGACCAGCGAAUAUCUGGCGUUGUAUGUU